UCACAUUUAUAUUACAUUAUUUGCAAUACAUCCUUAGUUUCAACCCCAUUUGGUCACCGAAAACUGUACCGAAUUGUAAUCUUUAUCAGAUAGCUGUCGGAUUUUAUUUCUCACUCUACGGGUGUCAGAAAAAUACGAAACUUUAUAUCUAGCCUCAUUAAAAUAUUUCUGACAUUCCCGCCAAUUUUCAUAAUUUCCUGAGACUGUGCAUUUUCUGCUAAUUCAUCUGCCUCGUCUCUCACAGAAAAUUCUAAAUCUUCUGUUUUCGCUCCGAUUUCAGCACAGGUCAUUCCCAACCUAUAUUUCACCUCUCUAAAUUCCAUAAAAUAGUAUCUCAUACUAUUUUAUUUAUUUUCACUUUUAUAUUUAAAAUCCGGUAUGUUAAAUUCCACCGUAACCUCACGAGAACCAUUUAAAUAUACACCGUAACUUCAUAGUUUUAGAAGUCUGGUACCUUACAAUAUCGGACCCUUU
This 474-nucleotide long non-coding RNA is filed under the name Ananas comosus (pineapple). Its description in RNAcentral is "long non-coding RNA (ACOM_LNC040147)". Lineage: Eukaryota; Viridiplantae; Streptophyta; Magnoliopsida; Poales; Bromeliaceae. The record is from RNAcentral.